RNAcentral lists this ribosomal RNA (427 nucleotides) under Proteomonas sulcata. Its description in RNAcentral is "partial Eukaryotic large subunit ribosomal RNA". It matches the Rfam family "Eukaryotic large subunit ribosomal RNA", at positions 11 to 430 of the family's 3401-position model. The record is from RNAcentral. Lineage: Eukaryota; Cryptophyceae; Pyrenomonadales; Geminigeraceae.
UCAGUCGAGACUAACCGCUGAACUUAAGCAUAUCACUAGGCGGAGGAGAAGAAACUAACUAGGAUUCCCUCAGUAGCGGCGAGCGAAGCGGGAGGAGCUCAAGGCACCAAUCCGCGCGCACCGCGCGCGGAGAUUUGGCCUGGAGGGGCGCUGCCCGGGGGCCCCCGGGGCCCAAGUCCCCUGGAACGGGGCGCCAGAGAGGGUGAGAGCCCCGUCCAUGGCCCCGGAGCGAGGCCCCCUUAGAGGCGCGCCCCCGUCGAGUCGGGUUGCUUGGGACUGCAGCCCGAAUGGGGUGGUAUACUUCAUCCAAAGCUAAAUACGGGCAGGAGACCGAUAGCGAACAAGUACCGUGAGGGAAAGAUGAAAAGGACUUUGGGAAGAGGGUGAAACAGUGCUUGAAACCGCUGGGGGGAAAGCGGAUGGGGCC